GACGAACGCUGGCGGCGUGCUUAACACAUGCAAGUCGAACGGAAAGGCCCUGCUUUUGUGGGGUGCUCGAGUGGCGAACGGGUGAGUAACACGUGAGUAACCUGCCCUUGACUUUGGGAUAACUUCAGGAAACUGGGGCUAAUACCGGAUAGGAGCUCCUGCUGCAUGGUGGGGGUUGGAAAGUUUCGGCGGUUGGGGAUGGACUCGCGGCUUAUCAGCUUGUUGGUGGGGUAGUGGCUUACCAAGGCUUUGACGGGUAGCCGGCCUGAGAGGGUGACCGGCCACAGUGGGACUGAGAUACGGCCCAGACUCCUACGGGAGGCAGCAGUGGGGAAUAUUGCACAAUGGGCGGAAGCCUGAUGCAGCAACGCCGCGUGCGGGAUGACGGCCUUCGGGUUGUAAACCGCUUUCGCCUGGGACGAAGCGUGAGUGACGGUAAUGGGUAAAGAAGCACCGGCUAACUACGUG
This 468-nucleotide ribosomal RNA is filed under the name uncultured bacterium. RNAcentral describes it as "partial 16S ribosomal RNA". It matches the Rfam family "Bacterial small subunit ribosomal RNA", at positions 28 to 507 of the family's 1533-position model. The record is from RNAcentral.